Molecule: transfer RNA, 86 nt
Filed under: bacterium
Lineage: Bacteria
Description: tRNA-Tyr
Rfam family: tRNA
About the family: Transfer RNA (tRNA) molecules are approximately 80 nucleotides in length. Their secondary structure includes four short double-helical elements and three loops (D, anti-codon, and T loops).
Source: RNAcentral
GCCGGUGUACUCAAGUGGUCAACGAGGGCAGUCUGUAAAACUGCUGGCGCAAGCCUACGUAGGUUCGAACCCUGCCGCCGGCACCA